CAGCAGCCGCGGGAAUACGUAGGUCCCGAGCGUUGUCCGGAUUUAUUGGGCGUAAAGCGAGCGCAGGCGGUCAAUUAAGUCUGAUGUGAAAGCCCCCGGCUCAACCGGGGAGGGUCAUUGGAAACUGGUUGACUUGAGUGCAGAAGAGGAGAGUGGAAUUCCAUGUGUAGCGGUGAAAUGCGUAGAUAUAUGGAGGAACACCAGUGGCGAGGGCGACUCUCUGGUCUGUAACUGACGCUGAGGCUCGAAAGCGUGGGUAGCAAACAGGAUUAGAUACCCCGGUAGUCCCUGUCUCUUAUAC
RNAcentral lists this ribosomal RNA (301 nucleotides) under uncultured bacterium. RNAcentral describes it as "partial 16S ribosomal RNA". It matches the Rfam family "Bacterial small subunit ribosomal RNA", at positions 509 to 807 of the family's 1533-position model. The record is from RNAcentral.